GACGUAGGAGGCGAGCGUUGUCCGGAUUCAUUGGGCGUAAAGAGCACGCAGGCGGUUUGGCAAGUCGGAUGUGAAAACCCGAAGCUCAACUUCGGGCCUGCAUCCGAAACUGCCCGACUAGAGGUAGGUAGGGGAGAUCGGAAUUCCUGGUGUAGCGGUGAAAUGCGCAGAUAUCAGGAAGAACACCAAUGGCGAAGGCAGUUCUCUGGGACGGUACUGACGCUGAGACGCGAAAGCGUGGGGAGCGAACAGG
RNAcentral lists this ribosomal RNA (253 nucleotides) under uncultured bacterium. RNAcentral's name for it is "partial 16S ribosomal RNA". It matches the Rfam family "Bacterial small subunit ribosomal RNA", at positions 524 to 776 of the family's 1533-position model. The record is from RNAcentral.